Molecule: ribosomal RNA, 468 nt
Filed under: uncultured bacterium
Lineage: Bacteria
Description: partial 16S ribosomal RNA
Rfam family: Bacterial small subunit ribosomal RNA
Source: RNAcentral
GACGAACGCUGGCGGCGUGCUUAACACAUGCAAGUCGAACGGAAAGGCCCUGCUUUUGUGGGGUGCUCGAGUGGCGAACGGGUGAUUAACACGUGAGUAACCUGCCCUUGACUUUGGGAUAACUUCAGGAACCUGGGGCUAAUACCGGAUAGGAGCUCCUGCUGCAUGGUGGGGGUUGGAAAUUUUCGGCGGUUGGGGAUGGACUCGCGGCUUAUCAGCUUGUUGGUGGGGUAGUGGCUUACCAAGGCUUUGACGGGUAGCCGGCCUGAGAGGGUGACCGGCCACAUUGGGACUGAGAUACGGCCCAGACUCCUACGGGAGGCAGCAGUGGGGAAUAUUGCACAAUGGGCGGAAGCCUGAUGCAGCAACGCCGCGUGCGGGAUGACGGCCUUCGGGUUGUAAACCGCUUUCGCCUGUGACGAAGCGUGAGUGACGGUAAUGGGUAAAGAAGCACCGGCUAACUACGUG